This 522-nucleotide ribosomal RNA is filed under the name uncultured Acidobacteriota bacterium. RNAcentral describes it as "bacterial SSU rRNA". It matches the Rfam family "Bacterial small subunit ribosomal RNA", at positions 382 to 896 of the family's 1533-position model. The record is from RNAcentral. Lineage: Bacteria; Pseudomonadati; Acidobacteriota.
CCUGACGACGCAACGCCGCGUGGAGGAUGAAGGUCUUCGGAUUGUAAACUCCUGUUGCUCGGGACGAAAAGCUUCGACCUAACACGUCGAAGUCUGACGGUACCGAGUGAGGAAGCCCCGGCUAACUCUGUGCCAGCAGCCGCGGUAAUACAGAGGGGGCAAACGUUGUUCGGAAUUACUGGGCGUAAAGGGCGCGUAGGCGGCCUGCUAAGUCGAACGUGAAAUCCCUGGGCUCAACCCAGGAACUGCGUCCGAUACUGGUUGGCUUGAAUCCGGGAGAGGGACGUGGAAUUCCAGGUGUAGCGGUGAAAUGCGUAGAUAUCUGGAGGAACACCGGUGGCGAAGGCGACGUCCUGGACCGGCAUUGACGCUGAGGCGCGAAAGCCAGGGGAGCAAACGGGAUUAGAUACCCCGGUAGUCCUGGCCCUAAACGAUGAAUGCUUGGUGUGGUGGGUAUCGAUCCCUACCGUGCCGAAGCUAACGCAUUAAGCAUUCCGCCUGGGGAGUACGGUCGCAAGGCUG